RNAcentral lists this ribosomal RNA (2904 nucleotides) under Escherichia coli. RNAcentral's name for it is "23S ribosomal RNA". It matches the Rfam family "Bacterial large subunit ribosomal RNA". The record is from RNAcentral. Lineage: Bacteria; Pseudomonadati; Pseudomonadota; Gammaproteobacteria; Enterobacterales; Enterobacteriaceae.
GGUUAAGCGACUAAGCGUACACGGUGGAUGCCCUGGCAGUCAGAGGCGAUGAAGGACGUGCUAAUCUGCGAUAAGCGUCGGUAAGGUGAUAUGAACCGUUAUAACCGGCGAUUUCCGAAUGGGGAAACCCAGUGUGUUUCGACACACUAUCAUUAACUGAAUCCAUAGGUUAAUGAGGCGAACCGGGGGAACUGAAACAUCUAAGUACCCCGAGGAAAAGAAAUCAACCGAGAUUCCCCCAGUAGCGGCGAGCGAACGGGGAGCAGCCCAGAGCCUGAAUCAGUGUGUGUGUUAGUGGAAGCGUCUGGAAAGGCGCGCGAUACAGGGUGACAGCCCCGUACACAAAAAUGCACAUGCUGUGAGCUCGAUGAGUAGGGCGGGACACGUGGUAUCCUGUCUGAAUAUGGGGGGACCAUCCUCCAAGGCUAAAUACUCCUGACUGACCGAUAGUGAACCAGUACCGUGAGGGAAAGGCGAAAAGAACCCCGGCGAGGGGAGUGAAAAAGAACCUGAAACCGUGUACGUACAAGCAGUGGGAGCACGCUUAGGCGUGUGACUGCGUACCUUUUGUAUAAUGGGUCAGCGACUUAUAUUCUGUAGCAAGGUUAACCGAAUAGGGGAGCCGAAGGGAAACCGAGUCUUAACUGGGCGUUAAGUUGCAGGGUAUAGACCCGAAACCCGGUGAUCUAGCCAUGGGCAGGUUGAAGGUUGGGUAACACUAACUGGAGGACCGAACCGACUAAUGUUGAAAAAUUAGCGGAUGACUUGUGGCUGGGGGUGAAAGGCCAAUCAAACCGGGAGAUAGCUGGUUCUCCCCGAAAGCUAUUUAGGUAGCGCCUCGUGAAUUCAUCUCCGGGGGUAGAGCACUGUUUCGGCAAGGGGGUCAUCCCGACUUACCAACCCGAUGCAAACUGCGAAUACCGGAGAAUGUUAUCACGGGAGACACACGGCGGGUGCUAACGUCCGUCGUGAAGAGGGAAACAACCCAGACCGCCAGCUAAGGUCCCAAAGUCAUGGUUAAGUGGGAAACGAUGUGGGAAGGCCCAGACAGCCAGGAUGUUGGCUUAGAAGCAGCCAUCAUUUAAAGAAAGCGUAAUAGCUCACUGGUCGAGUCGGCCUGCGCGGAAGAUGUAACGGGGCUAAACCAUGCACCGAAGCUGCGGCAGCGACGCUGAUGCGUUGUUGGGUAGGGGAGCGUUCUGUAAGCCUGCGAAGGUGUGCUGUGAGGCAUGCUGGAGGUAUCAGAAGUGCGAAUGCUGACAUAAGUAACGAUAAAGCGGGUGAAAAGCCCGCUCGCCGGAAGACCAAGGGUUCCUGUCCAACGUUAAUCGGGGCAGGGUGAGUCGACCCCUAAGGCGAGGCCGAAAGGCGUAGUCGAUGGAAAACAGGUUAAUAUUCCUGUACUUGGUGUUACUGCGAAGGGGGACGGAGAAGGCUAUGUUGGCCGGGCGACGGUUGUCCCGGUUUAAGCGUGUAGGCUGGUUUUCCAGGCAAAUCCGGAAAAUCAAGGCUGAGGCGUGAUGACGAGGCACUACGGUGCUGAAGCAACAAAUGCCCUGCUUCCAGGAAAAGCCUCUAAGCAUCAGGUAACAUCAAAUCGUACCCCAAACCGACACAGGUGGUCAGGUAGAGAAUACCAAGGCGCUUGAGAGAACUCGGGUGAAGGAACUAGGCAAAAUGGUGCCGUAACUUCGGGAGAAGGCACGCUGAUAUGUAGGUGAAGUCCCUCGCGGAUGGAGCUGAAAUCAGUCGAAGAUACCAGCUGGCUGCAACUGUUUAUUAAAAACACAGCACUGUGCAAACACGAAAGUGGACGUAUACGGUGUGACGCCUGCCCGGUGCCGGAAGGUUAAUUGAUGGGGUUAGCGGUAACGCAAAGCUCUUGAUCGAAGCCCCGGUAAACGGCGGCCGUAACUAUAACGGUCCUAAGGUAGCGAAAUUCCUUGUCGGGUAAGUUCCGACCUGCACGAAUGGCGUAAUGAUGGCCAGGCUGUCUCCACCCGAGACUCAGUGAAAUUGAACUCGCUGUGAAGAUGCAGUGUACCCGCGGCAAGACGGAAAGACCCCGUGAACCUUUACUAUAGCUUGACACUGAACAUUGAGCCUUGAUGUGUAGGAUAGGUGGGAGGCUUUGAAGUGUGGACGCCAGUCUGCAUGGAGCCGACCUUGAAAUACCACCCUUUAAUGUUUGAUGUUCUAACGUUGACCCGUAAUCCGGGUUGCGGACAGUGUCUGGUGGGUAGUUUGACUGGGGCGGUCUCCUCCUAAAGAGUAACGGAGGAGCACGAAGGUUGGCUAAUCCUGGUCGGACAUCAGGAGGUUAGUGCAAUGGCAUAAGCCAGCUUGACUGCGAGCGUGACGGCGCGAGCAGGUGCGAAAGCAGGUCAUAGUGAUCCGGUGGUUCUGAAUGGAAGGGCCAUCGCUCAACGGAUAAAAGGUACUCCGGGGAUAACAGGCUGAUACCGCCCAAGAGUUCAUAUCGACGGCGGUGUUUGGCACCUCGAUGUCGGCUCAUCACAUCCUGGGGCUGAAGUAGGUCCCAAGGGUAUGGCUGUUCGCCAUUUAAAGUGGUACGCGAGCUGGGUUUAGAACGUCGUGAGACAGUUCGGUCCCUAUCUGCCGUGGGCGCUGGAGAACUGAGGGGGCUGCUCCUAGUACGAGAGGACCGGAGUGGACGCAUCACUGGUGUUCGGGUUGUCAUGCCAAUGGCACUGCCCGGUAGCUAAAUGCGGAAGAGAUAAGUGCUGAAAGCAUCUAAGCACGAAACUUGCCCCGAGAUGAGUUCUCCCUGACUCCUUGAGAGUCCUGAAGGAACGUUGAAGACGACGACGUUGAUAGGCCGGGUGUGUAAGCGCAGCGAUGCGUUGAGCUAACCGGUACUAAUGAACCGUGAGGCUUAACCUU